RNAcentral lists this ribosomal RNA (2323 nucleotides) under Salmonella enterica. RNAcentral describes it as "partial 23S ribosomal RNA". It matches the Rfam family "Bacterial large subunit ribosomal RNA", at positions 711 to 2925 of the family's 2925-position model. Lineage: Bacteria; Pseudomonadati; Pseudomonadota; Gammaproteobacteria; Enterobacterales; Enterobacteriaceae. The record is from RNAcentral. RNAcentral also lists the same sequence under 1 other name.
AGACCCGAAACCCGGUGAUCUAGCCAUGGGCAGGUUGAAGGUUGGGUAACACUAACUGGAGGACCGAACCGACUAAUGUUGAAAAAUUAGCGGAUGACCUGUGGCUGGGGGUGAAAGGCCAAUCAAACCGGGAGAUAGCUGGUUCUCCCCGAAAGCUAUUUAGGUAGCGCCUCGUGAAUUCAUCUCCGGGGGUAGAGCACUGUUUCGGCUAGGGGGCCAUCCCGGCUUACCAACCCGAUGCAAACUGCGAAUACCGGAGAAUGUUAUCACGGGAGACACACGGCGGGUGCUAACGUCCGUCGUGAAGAGGGAAACAACCCAGACCGCCAGCUAAGGUCCCAAAGUCAUGGUUAAGUGGGAAACGAUGUGGGAAGGCCCAGACAGCCAGGAUGUUGGCUUAGAAGCAGCCAUCAUUUAAAGAAAGCGUAAUAGCUCACUGGUCGAGUCGGCCUGCGCGGAAGAUGUAACGGGGCUAAACCAUGCACCGAAGCUGCGGCAGCGAACGUAUCACCCAAGACAACUUUACGGAGUUGACGAUUGACGGAGCGAAGCGACGUCAAAGCGUUCAUUAAAGUCGAGUUGGCUUAGGGAUACGUUCGUUGGGUAGGGGAGCGUUCUGUAAGCCUGUGAAGGUGUGUCGUGAGGCAUGCUGGAGGUAUCAGAAGUGCGAAUGCUGACAUAAGUAACGAUAAAGCGGGUGAAAAGCCCGCUCGCCGGAAGACCAAGGGUUCCUGUCCAACGUUAAUCGGGGCAGGGUGAGUCGACCCCUAAGGCGAGGCCGAAAGGCGUAGUCGAUGGGAAACGGGUUAAUAUUCCCGUACUUGGUGUUACUGCGAAGGGGGGACGGAGAAGGCUAUGUUGGCCGGGCGACGGUUGUCCCGGUUUAAGCGUGUAGGUGUGUGUUCCAGGUAAAUCCGGUUCACUUUAACACUGAGGCGUGACGACGAGGCACUACGGUGCUGAAGCAACAAAUGCCCUGCUUCCAGGAAAAGCCUCUAAGCAUCAGGUAACAUCAAAUCGUACCCCAAACCGACACAGGUGGUCAGGUAGAGAAUACCAAGGCGCUUGAGAGAACUCGGGUGAAGGAACUAGGCAAAAUGGUGCCGUAACUUCGGGAGAAGGCACGCUGACACGUAGGUGAAGUGAUUUACUCAUGGAGCUGAAGUCAGUCGAAGAUACCAGCUGGCUGCAACUGUUUAUUAAAAACACAGCACUGUGCAAACACGAAAGUGGACGUAUACGGUGUGACGCCUGCCCGGUGCCGGAAGGUUAAUUGAUGGGGUCAGCGCAAGCGAAGCUCCUGAUCGAAGCCCCGGUAAACGGCGGCCGUAACUAUAACGGUCCUAAGGUAGCGAAAUUCCUUGUCGGGUAAGUUCCGACCUGCACGAAUGGCGUAAUGAUGGCCAGGCUGUCUCCACCCGAGACUCAGUGAAAUUGAACUCGCUGUGAAGAUGCAGUGUACCCGCGGCAAGACGGAAAGACCCCGUGAACCUUUACUAUAGCUUGACACUGAACAUUGAGCCUUGAUGUGUAGGAUAGGUGGGAGGCUUUGAAGUGUGGACGCCAGUCUGCAUGGAGCCGACCUUGAAAUACCACCCUUUAAUGUUUGAUGUUCUAACGUGGACCCGUUACCCGGGUUGCGGACAGUGUCUGGUGGGUAGUUUGACUGGGGCGGUCUCCUCCUAAAGAGUAACGGAGGAGCACGAAGGUUGGCUAAUCCUGGUCGGACAUCAGGAGGUUAGUGCAAUGGCAUAAGCCAGCUUGACUGCGAGCGUGACGGCGCGAGCAGGUGCGAAAGCAGGUCAUAGUGAUCCGGUGGUUCUGAAUGGAAGGGCCAUCGCUCAACGGAUAAAAGGUACUCCGGGGAUAACAGGCUGAUACCGCCCAAGAGUUCAUAUCGACGGCGGUGUUUGGCACCUCGAUGUCGGCUCAUCACAUCCUGGGGCUGAAGUAGGUCCCAAGGGUAUGGCUGUUCGCCAUUUAAAGUGGUACGCGAGCUGGGUUUAGAACGUCGUGAGACAGUUCGGUCCCUAUCUGCCGUGGGCGCUGGAGAACUGAGGGGGGCUGCUCCUAGUACGAGAGGACCGGAGUGGACGCAUCACUGGUGUUCGGGUUGUCAUGCCAAUGGCACUGCCCGGUAGCUAAAUGCGGAAGAGAUAAGUGCUGAAAGCAUCUAAGCACGAAACUUGCCCCGAGAUGAGUUCUCCCUGAGACUUAGAGUCUCCUGAAGGAACGUUGAAGACGACGACGUUGAUAGGCCGGGUGUGUAAGCGCAGCGAUGCGUUGAGCUAACCGGUACUAAUGAACCGUGAGGCUUAACCUU